This 393-nucleotide unclassified non-coding RNA is filed under the name uncultured fungus. RNAcentral's name for it is "partial contains small subunit ribosomal RNA, internal transcribed spacer 1, and 5.8S ribosomal RNA". The stretch from base 1 to 73 matches the Rfam family "Eukaryotic small subunit ribosomal RNA", at positions 1759 to 1831 of the family's 1831-position model. The record is from RNAcentral. Lineage: Eukaryota; Fungi.
GCAAACUUGGUCAUUUAGAGGAAGUAAAAGUCGUAACAAGGUUUCCGUAGGUGAACCUGCGGAAGGAUCAUCACUGAUUCAGGGGGAGAGUGUGUGCGUGCGUUCACGCGCGCGCCGCGCCACCCCAACCAAUCUUUUGUGCACGGUUUCACGGUCAACGAGAGACGCCGCGCGUGUGUUGGCAAGUCAAGUGUCCCCGUCCCCCCUCCCCCCAGUGUGGGAGAGGUGGUGUGGGGGUGUGACUUCUUGCCAACCGCAUGCGUCUGUGCGCGUUCUCUACGCACUUACACAAUCUCUUGUGGCAAUCUCUGUCUAACGCGUACCUAAAUAUUAUUAACACAUACAACUUUCAACAAUGGAUCUCUUGGCUCUCGCAUCGAUGAAGAACGCAGC